Molecule: ribosomal RNA, 466 nt
Filed under: Vreelandella stevensii
Lineage: Bacteria; Pseudomonadati; Pseudomonadota; Gammaproteobacteria; Oceanospirillales; Halomonadaceae
Description: partial 16S ribosomal RNA
Rfam family: Bacterial small subunit ribosomal RNA
Source: RNAcentral
CCUACUGGUGGCUGCAGUGGGGAAUAUUGGACAAUGGGCGAAAGCCUGAUCCAGCCAUGCCGCGUGUGUGAAGAAGGCCUUCGGGUUGUAAAGCACUUUCAGUGGGGAAGAAAGCCUUGGGGCUAAUACCCUCGAGGAAGGACAUCACCCACAGAAGAAGCACCGGCUAACUCCGUGCCAGCAGCCGCAGGUAAUACGGAGGGUGCGAGCGUUAAUCGGAAUUACUGGGCGUAAAGCGCGCGUAGGCGGUCUGAUAAGCCGGUUGUGAAAGCCCCGGGCUCAACCUGGGAACGGCAUCCGGAACUGUCAGGCUAGAGUGCAGGAGAGGAAGGUAGAAGUCCCGGUGUAGCGGUGAAAUGCGUAGAGAUCGGGAGGAAUACCAGUGGCGAAGGCGGCCUUCUGGACUGACACUGACGCUGAGGUGCGAAAGCGUGGGUAGCAAACAGGAUUAGAUACCCCGGUAGUC